UUCACCUGCGGGACGCAGCAGUGGGGAAUAUUGGGCAAUGGGCGCAAGCCUGACCCAGCAACGCCGCGUGAAGGAAGAAGGCUUUCGGGUUGUAAACUUCUUUUCUCAGGGACGAAGCAAGUGACGGUACCUGAGGAAUAAGCCACGGCUAACUACGUGCCAGCAGCCGCGGUAAUACGUAGGUGGCAAGCGUUAUCCGGAUUUACUGGGUGUAAAGGGCGUGUAGGCGGGAAAGCAAGUCAGAUGUGAAAACCAUGGGCUCAACCUGUGGCCUGCAUUUGAAACUGUUUCUCUUGAGUAAUGGG
Molecule: ribosomal RNA, 305 nt
Filed under: uncultured bacterium
Lineage: Bacteria
Description: bacterial SSU rRNA
Rfam family: Bacterial small subunit ribosomal RNA
Source: RNAcentral